This 723-nucleotide ribosomal RNA is filed under the name uncultured bacterium. Its description in RNAcentral is "bacterial SSU rRNA". It matches the Rfam family "Bacterial small subunit ribosomal RNA", at positions 8 to 722 of the family's 1533-position model. The record is from RNAcentral.
AGAGUUUGAUCAUGGCUCAGAUUGAACGCUGGCGGCAUGCCUAACACAUGCAAGUCGAACGGAAACGAAGGGAGCUUGCUCCCAGGCGUCGAGUGGCGGACGGGUGAGUAAUACUUAGGAAUCUGCCCAUUAGUGGGGGACAACUCGGGGAAACCCGAGCUAAUACCGCAUACGCCCUACGGGGGAAAGCGGGGGAUCUUCGGACCUCGCGCUAAUGGAUGAGCCUAAGUCGGAUUAGCUUGUUGGUGGGGUAAAGGCCUACCAAGGCGACGAUCCGUAGCUGGUCUGAGAGGAUGAUCAGCCACACUGGGACUGAGACACGGCCCAGACUCCUACGGGAGGCAGCAGUGGGGAAUAUUGGACAAUGGGCGCAAGCCUGAUCCAGCAAUGCCGCGUGUGUGAAGAAGGCCUGCGGGUUGUAAAGCACUUUCAGUAGAGAAGAAAAGCCUAAGGUUAAUAACCUUGGGUCUUGACGUAACCUACAGAAGAAGCACCGGCUAACUCCGUGCUAGCAGCCGCGGUAAUACGGAGGGUGCGAGCGUUAAUCGGAAUUACUGGGCGUAAAGCGCGCGUAGGCGGCUUUGUAAGUCGGAUGUGAAAGCCCCGGGCUCAACCUGGGAAUUGCAUUCGAAACUGCUUAGCUAGAGUAUGGUAGAGGGAAGUGGAAUUUCCGGUGUAGCGGUGAAAUGCGUAGAUAUCGGAAGGAACACCAGUGGCGAAGGC